This 497-nucleotide ribosomal RNA is filed under the name uncultured bacterium. Its description in RNAcentral is "partial 16S ribosomal RNA". It matches the Rfam family "Bacterial small subunit ribosomal RNA", at positions 28 to 507 of the family's 1533-position model. The record is from RNAcentral.
GAUGAACGCUGGCGGCGUGCCUAAUACAUGCCAGUCGAGCGAACAGACGAGGAGCUUGCUCCUCUGACGUUAGCGGCGGACGGGUGAGUAACACGUGGAUAACCUACCUAUCAGACUGGGAUAACUUCGGGAAACCGGAGCUAAUACCGGAUAAUAUAUUGAACCGCAUGGUUCAAUAGUGAAAGACGGUUUUGCUGUCACUUAUAGAUGGAUCCGCGCCGCAUUAGCUAGUUGGUAAGGUAACGGCUUACCAAGGCAACGAUGCGUAGCCGACCUGAGAGGGUGAUCGGCCACACUGGAACUGAGACAGGGUCCAGACUCCUACGGGAGGCAGCAGUAGGGAAUCUUCCGCAAUGGGCGAAAGCCUGACGGAGCAACGCCGCGUGAGUGAUGAAGGUCUUCGGAUCGUAAAACUCUGUUAUUAGGGAAGAACAAAUGUGUAAGUAACUAUGCACGUCUUGACGGUACCUAAUCAGAAAGCCACGGCUAACUACGUG